AAAAAAAAAAGAAAAAAAGAAGAGAAGAAUAUACAAACCAUUUAGUUUUUUGUUGGUUUUGAAGUUCAUAUUGCUUAUAGUUUGUUUGGGAGGAAGUGGGUUUUUAAAGUAGCAUGCUUGUUCGGUUGUUUGGGAGGAAGGCUUUUUUUAAAGGAGAUAAAGGUUUUUGGAGGUUUCAAAACCUUCAAAAUUAUCGCUUUUUCAAACUACCAAAUUGGUGGAUUGGGAAGUUUUGCUACCUUACUUUAUAAAACCUUCCCUCACUUCAUCCAAUCUCCAUCCAAACAUACUGUGGGGAAGUAUUGAGAAUUAUAGUGUAAAUUUCAACUAAUGAUGGAGAUAGUGGGAAGACAUAAAAUGAAAUUUGUGAACCUAUCGUAGUUUCAAAUUUUAUUAAACGUUGUUUAUAAAUAUCAAUAGAAACAAUUUUCUUUUUUGAAAUAUGUGAUUAAAUGAUUGUAGAAGUUGCAGUUGCAUAAUGUCAGUAUACAAUUCUAAGAUUUGUGCUUCUGAAGUGAAAGUUUAAAAAACAAAAAAGAAGAAGAAGAAAUCCAUAUAGUUAGAAAUGCAAAUGAAUUGUUCUAAAAGUUGUUAGUUGUAAUGAGGGAUUUUGUGAUCUGUAUCAUAUGCCGUAGAUAGAAUGAUUAGGGGCUGGCGUCUAACAGGAUAUUCAAAGUUGAUAGAAUCAUCUAUUGCAUAAUAUUUAUUGAAAUUCUAAGAUUCCUCUUGGAAUGUAAUGAUAAGGAGACACUGCCAUGAAGUUCCCAAUGAAAUGGACUAUAGAGCUUCUUCUGGCACUUUUCUUUUUCUCUUAAUAAUUUUCAGUUUUAUUAGAUAGGGGUGUUGUUGAUGUUAGAACCCUGAUCAGGACUAAUCAUAAGUUCUGCUUCUCAAAUAAUAUAUUUUUAUAAUUUUGAUAGCCUCCUGGAGAAAAUUAUGCCAAUCCAAGGACAUGCUUCUUUCAUGUUCUCUUCAAGGUUUGUCAUACUCAUAUCUUUCCUUGUAAAUUAGCUUUAUAAGAACAAUUCAUUAUACAUUCUUGUGUUUCUUGUUUUUGGCAGGCUGCAGCUUUGGCAUUUUACAUACUUUCUGCACUGUUUAUUGAUAAUUUUGUUAUCAUAUUUGUGGUGACUGUUCUUCUUGCUGCUCUUGAUUUUUGGGUGGUCAAGAAUGUGAGUGGUCGUAUUUUAGUUGGUCUUAGGUGGUGGAAUGAAAUAAAUGAUCUUGGCGAGAGCGUGUGGAAAUUUGAAUCCCUCGAACAAGAGGUUAGUAUAAUUGUACAUUGUUCUGCCUUCAUCAAAUUCAAGCAUAGAUUGAUUUUGAAGGAUUUUGAAGUGUCUACUCAAUUGCUUUAGGACCUUUGCUUACACUCAUUUUUAAUCUCACACAUAUUUGUACAUGUUUUUGCAUUAGUCAUUGGACCGGCUGAACAAGAAGGAUUCGUGGUUAUUCUGGUGGACUCUUUACUUAACGGUAAGCAAGUGGAAUUUUAUAUAGCAUGUUACUGAAUCACCAUAUGCUUAGCAUAUAAUACUUUAGAAAAAUUGGAUGCAGAAUAUUUUUAGUUGAAGAAAUGUAAGAGGAUACACCAUUGAAUGUUAAAGUGAAUUAUUGCCAAUUUUUGUGAAAGAUUCUAAUUGAAGCAUCUGAAAGGUGAAAACAAUAGGGAACUGUUAGUGAAUAGAGCUGUGGAUGUGAUUAUGUUGGUACUGGUCAUUCCUGCUUGAUUUGAUAUGGUUACUCUUUAGUGUCUGGAAUGAGAUAAAUGAUCAUUUAUUCCCAAUGUUUUCUAUAUUUAAUGUUGUCCAUUAACCUCAUAGGCCGUUGCAUGGGUUGUGCUUGGAAUUUUUUCUCUCAUAAGGUUUCAAGCAGACUACUGCCUCAUUAUUGGAGUUUGCUUGACUCUUAGUGUAGCAAACAUCAUCGGCUUCACUAAAUGUCGCAAAGGUGAGAAAGAAGUUGUUUGGUUUCUCAAUUAGUAUUUUUUUGCUUGAAUAUGACCUUUAGCAUUGUUUUGCUCUUCAGCAUCAUUCUUCUUAAAACAUUUGUGAAAAGAUUUAUUAUUUGAUAGCCGAAGUACAGGAAUAUGAGAUUUAUGUUGAUAUCAAAUAAAUCAUCCACAUUCUUUUUUUUUAAAACUGUGUUGAGGCAGUGAGAAAGGGGACCAGGAUUUAAAUUAACAUAUCUCGUGUAUAACUUGGUAACAGUACAUUGUGUGCCAUUUGCUGCAGCUUGCUUGUGCUGUUCUUAUGCUCAUCAAUUAAUUUGUUCAUUUAUGGAUCACACACACACACAUGCUUACCUGAUCCUUCCUCCCCUCUCUCAAUCCCCCUAACCCCCCAACCCCCCGCGCUAAAUUUUAUUGUCCUUUUCAAAGUUCUGCCAGACACAAAUUGGAUCAGGGCCUCUGGAAAAUGAUUGAGU
Molecule: unclassified non-coding RNA, 2424 nt
Filed under: Hevea brasiliensis (rubber tree)
Lineage: Eukaryota; Viridiplantae; Streptophyta; Magnoliopsida; Malpighiales; Euphorbiaceae
Source: RNAcentral